Long non-coding RNA from Carassius carassius (crucian carp), 425 nucleotides. RefSeq lists it as uncharacterized. The record is from RefSeq and is a predicted model, not a curated record. The transcript has 3 exons. NCBI's taxonomy places the organism in Eukaryota, Metazoa, Chordata, Actinopteri, Cypriniformes, Cyprinidae.
GUUGUUGACUGUAAUCUGGAACAAACUGCUGGUACCCAGAUGACAUGCUAGUCACAAAUUGAAGGUCAUGCCGUACAUAUCAAUAGUUCCUGGUGUAGUAGGAAAAGAUUUGUGCUUCCAGCGUCACUCCUGGUUUCGACUUCUGAGUAUGCUGGGUCCUAUCCCAGCAUCUCAGGCCGUAGACAGGGAAACCCUCUGGACAAGCUGGACAAUCAAUCACGGGGAUGACACACGUAAUUUACAGUCUUCAGUUCACCUAACCUGUUUGUCUUUGAGUGCGGGAAACUAGAGCAAACACACAUCAUCAUGGGGAAAACAUGCAAACGCCUCACAGGAUGUCUUCCGGCUCAGUCAGGACUGGAGCAGGGACCUUCAGUGACAGUGCCAUCCUAUUAGUGUGAUCCUAUUAAUCAUAAAGUUGAAAA